GAUGAACGCUAGCGGCAGGCUUAAUACAUGCAAGUCGUGGGGCAGCGCAGUGUAGCAAUACAUGGCGGCGACCGGCAAACGGGUGCGGAACACGUACACAACCUUCCCUACAAGUGGGGAAUAGCCCAGAGAAAUUUGGAUUAAUACCCCGUAACAUAUAAAAGAUGGCAUCAUUUUUAUAUUAUAGCUACGGCGCUUGUUGAUGGGCGUGCGGCUGAUUAGGUAGUUGGCGGGGUAAUGGCCCACCAAGCCUGCGAUCAGUAGCUGAUGUGAGAGCAUGAUCAGCCACACGGGCACUGAGACACGGGGCCCGACUCCUACGGGAGGCAGCAGUAAGGAAUAUUGGACAAAUGGGCGCAAGCCUGAUCCAGCCAUGCCGCGUGAAGGAUUAAAGGUCCUCUGGAUUGUAAACUUCUUUUA
This 420-nucleotide ribosomal RNA is filed under the name uncultured bacterium. RNAcentral describes it as "bacterial SSU rRNA". It matches the Rfam family "Bacterial small subunit ribosomal RNA", at positions 28 to 438 of the family's 1533-position model. The record is from RNAcentral.